RNAcentral lists this non-coding RNA (270 nucleotides) under Onchocerca volvulus. RNAcentral's name for it is "Eukaryotic large subunit ribosomal RNA". It matches the Rfam family "Eukaryotic large subunit ribosomal RNA", at positions 687 to 954 of the family's 3401-position model. The record is from Rfam by way of RNAcentral. Lineage: Eukaryota; Metazoa; Nematoda; Chromadorea; Rhabditida; Onchocercidae.
UGAAUAAUAACGUGAUUAAGCAAUGUCAAAUUGCGAUGAAUCAGUGCAUACGUAAAAAAUAUAUAUAUGGCAUAACAUAAUCCCGUUCAUGUUGCAUGCAAUAGGGCGGAGAUAGAGCGUAUAUGCUGGGACCCGAAAGAUGGUGAACUAUACCUGAGCAGGAUGAAGCCAGAGGAAACUCUGGUGGAGGUCCGAAGCGAUUCUGACGUGCAAAUCGAUCGUCUGACUUUGAUAUGGGGCGAAAGACUAAUCGAACUACCUAGUAGCUGG